UCUGAGGCUGUUAUUAUCUUACCAUAGUCGGUUAAACAUUGAGAAGACCACACCACCCACACGAGAGAAUUUACACAUGGAGCGCACACAAAGUACACACAUACACCCAUCACUCGCUAGCAUGCGGCGAGCAAAGAGCAAACUGAGGUAACAAAAGAAAGUUACAAGCACUAGUAUAGUAGUACUGCUACUAAGCUUAGGAGAAACUACAUGCAGCCUCGGACAGCAACGUACGUACGCAGGAUUUAGAUAACCAAAAGAGCAGCAAACAUGGCGUCGUCCCAGAUCGAAGUUGUCGAUCGAGCACCCCCGUCUUCCUCUUCUUUAGCGGUGGUUGCUCCUGGUCCUGGUCUCGUCGCUGUAAAGCCUGGACAUCAAACGUACGCACGUACGUUGCACCGUUAUUAUUUCCAUGCAUGCUGCUAACCCGUUCCAAGCCCCAGUAGACAGUGCUAUCAAAAACCCAUUUUAUAUUGCGAGAUGGAUCAUGAGCUAGCGUACGUACCAGUCGUAGACGGUGGGAGAGUUGGGCUGGGGGCGGUCGAAGAGGUUGGCGCCGAGGCCCUUGGUGGCGAGGUUGCUCCCGGGGUGGAAGACGCUCCGCCACACGCUGCCGCCGCGCGGCGGCGUCGUCGACGACGACGACGGCGUCACCGGCGUGGUCGGGGUCGUCGGCAUCGACUGCGACGGCUUCAUCGCCUCCCCCGCAGCUGCACCCCCACCAA
Molecule: long non-coding RNA, 725 nt
Filed under: Hordeum vulgare
Lineage: Eukaryota; Viridiplantae; Streptophyta; Magnoliopsida; Poales; Poaceae
Description: long non-coding RNA (HVUL_LNC008676)
Source: RNAcentral